UACGUAGGGGGCGAGCGUUGUCCGGAUUUAUUGGGCGUAAAGAGCGUGUAGGCGGCCAGGUAGGUCCGUUGUGAAAACUCGAGGCUCAACCUCGAGACGUCGAUGGAAACCAUCUGGCUAGAGUCCGGAAGAGGAGAGUGGAAUUCCUGGUGUAGCGGUGAAAUGCGUAGAUAUCUGGAGGAAUACCGGUGGCGAAGGCGGCAUCCUGGACCGACAUUGACGCUGAACGGCGAAAGCUAGGGGAGCAAACGGG
This 253-nucleotide ribosomal RNA is filed under the name uncultured bacterium. RNAcentral's name for it is "partial 16S ribosomal RNA". It matches the Rfam family "Bacterial small subunit ribosomal RNA", at positions 524 to 776 of the family's 1533-position model. The record is from RNAcentral.